Long non-coding RNA from Drosophila mojavensis, 2680 nucleotides. RefSeq lists it as uncharacterized. The transcript has 3 exons. The record is from RefSeq and is a predicted model, not a curated record. Lineage: Eukaryota; Metazoa; Arthropoda; Insecta; Diptera; Drosophilidae.
UAUAUAUUGAGAUUCAUAGGUAGAUAUGUUUGUAAGAUUGUCAAUGCACCUAUAUGUAUGUAAAUAAAAUUUUAUAUAUGGACACUCAGGCAAAAGCUGGUUGCUUUGAAACUGCCGGCCAACCAGCAUAAAUGCCCUUGACAUUGAACUUCUCAAAGUGACUCCGUAGGUAUGAUAAGAAUAUAGGUAAAUAUUUUUGUAAGCUUACAGUUAUUCUCAAUCCAUGUAUAUAACAUUUGACAUUAUUAUUAAAGGAGAUUUGGGCAGAGGUAUCUUAUACAUUUGGUUGUACGUGUGAAAAUUCAUGUAGCCUAACAGUGCCAUUUUGAGUAUAAUGUUAUUAUAAAAGCUUACGUGCAAUAGUUACCAGUAAAAUGAAAUAGAAAUGAUUAAUGAAACGGUCUACACGGUUCGGCUGGAUAUUAAACGAAUGAAGCAUAUUCCGAGAAAAAAUAAAACUAUACAAUUUCAUCAUUAUUAUUAUUUGUUACAAAUGUCUUAAGCAUACUUUCUAACUCGAAUUGGGACAACAUCGCCCAUAUUUAUUACCAAGUCGUUAUUAUUAUAGUAUUUCGAAGUGCACCUAUCAUUAUAAAAUUAUAAUAAUCAUGAUCUUUAAUAAUAUUAUUGAGUAUAAAUGUUUUGAAAAUAUAAGCUUUAUAAAUGUUGUGAAAAUAUAAGCAUUACUUAAAAAUCAAUAAUUAAUGUAACUAAAUUUUGGUACAUACCACACAAGCUCGCAGGAGAAGAAGAAGAGGAGCUCUUAUCACUAGGUGUCCCAGAAUGCAACUGAAACGAUCUGCAGUGGGCUUCCCUUUAUAUGGGACAAGCAUCACUGAUGGUACGAUGGAAUUGGACUGACCAUACAAAAUACACAUAAAGAGAACUAAGAACUGAGAACUGAGUUGGGCUGCAGAGCUCAAGGCUAAGUUUGAUGCUCAAUGUGCGAUCUAACAGACAGAGAGGCGGUCAUAUAGAGUAUGCUUGAGCUCAUUCGUAUAGUCUAAGCACUCAGAGCACAUAAAUGGAAUAAAGUGAACUAGCUCUACGCUCUUGUUUGACACUAUAGAAUAUGAUUAAUUCAAUUAAAAUGAUAUAUGAAAACAGCAAAGAAAAUUAUGGUUGUCAAAUUAUACUAACAAAUUAAAUAGUAACAGACUAAGGCAUAGAGAAUUGGAGAGGUUUUCAAUUGGCACAUACAGUGCCGGAAAACUGAAUAGGUACCCCCAAUAUUUUUUAAGGACAAUCUGAUUGCAUGCCGAGCGGAUUGCGAGUUGCACCCACAACAAUGAAACAAUUGAAACGAUUAGAAGGCUGCUCCCUUUAGAGACGCCUCAAUUUGUCAACAGAAUUGGAAAUGUCGUAAAUCCAAAUAAACAUGCAUUAAACUCUAACCCACAUACAAUAUUUUCGAUUAUGGCCAACAAGAAGAGGAGCAGACAUCGAGUGGAUGUGGCGGGCAGACAGACGAUUCGGUGCUCUCUUAACUUGAACGUAUGCAAAUAUCAUAAUUCUUCCAUCAUGUCUGCAACAUCAUAAAGCAGCAUGGCGAAGGCAGAAGGCAGAUGUCAGGUCGACCCAAGACACAACGUUUCAAUAGGCCGCAAAUAUGACUUGGCCUGGCUUGGUCUGGGCUGUCCUAGCCUGUCCUGGUCUGAUGGCGCAUGUAAGGCAACACUGCAGCCGAUUGCUUAUGAGGGCAACCGAAACAAAAAUUGUUUCGGCAUGCCGCGAAGGUUGCUGCCACAAGCAAAUGAGUGGGGAACACGCAACGUUUUGCAUUUAGUUUUUGGGUGGCGGGGGGAGCAUGGAGUGGCGGGGAAGACUGGUGGGAGGGCGGUAGGGCGGUGUCUCAGACAUCAAACUUAUUUAUUUACUCUAAAAACAAUACAAGAAAAUUAAUAGCAAUUUGCAUAGUUUCAUAAAUAUGUUGCAAUAAAUGUUCUUAACAAGUGAACACUAUUCGGGUUACCAUAAAUGGGAAAGCCUUUUGGCAUUAAUAAGGCCUCACCUUUGCCAUCUCGUAUUGAUUGGCCUAAACGUGUUGUCUGUGUGUCUGUCUGUCUGGGUUGCCCUAUCAGCCGUCAUUUAAUUGACUUUGUUUGUGGCUUCAUCAGAAAGCCAUUUGAGCCAAUGUGCGUGCCGUCAAUUAAAGUUUGUUAGCGAAACAUUCAGUGUCUUUAAUUAAGUAUUGCUGGGGGCAGGUGUAUGCACACACAUACAUACGUAGGCCGGCAGAAGUUGCAUAAAAAUUAGCUGCAGUUAUUAAUUUUUUAGAAAGAGGAGAAUAAAGUUGUAGUUUUUUUUGGGGGGAGGUCUGCAAACAUGAAAGUAAAUUGUUGAGAUAUUAAAACGAGUUUAUUGAAGUUUAUUGGGACUUGUCAGCGCAUGCAAACCAAGUCACAAAAGCCACAACAACCGACAGCAACAACAACAAAGAAACAACACAACAGAAAGUCAAGAGAAGGCAGCCUACAAAAUUAUGAAAGAGUAAACGGUUUAGUUUGAAAUUGACUACUGAGGCGAGCAGACCGGCGAAGAAUUAUUAUUUAACUAUUUUUUUUUUUGUAGAUAUAUAUAUUCCUUACAUAUGUAAUAGUAAAUAUGCAGUUAGGCAACAGUGUUUUAUAGCAAUAAAUAAUUUUAAAAUAUAAAAAGUCUAAAGAUGAUUUAAUAUAUA